Molecule: ribosomal RNA, 2799 nt
Filed under: Escherichia coli
Lineage: Bacteria; Pseudomonadati; Pseudomonadota; Gammaproteobacteria; Enterobacterales; Enterobacteriaceae
Description: bacterial LSU rRNA
Rfam family: Bacterial large subunit ribosomal RNA
Source: RNAcentral
UUAAGCGACUAAGCGUACACGGUGGAUGCCCUGGCAGUCAGAGGCGAUGAAGGACGUGCUAAUCUGCGAUAAGCGUCGGUAAGGUGAUAUGAACCGUUAUAACCGGCGAUUUCCGAAUGGGGAAACCCAGUGUGUUUCGACACACUAUCAUUAACUGAAUCCAUAGGUUAAUGAGGCGAACCGGGGGAACUGAAACAUCUAAGUACCCCGAGGAAAAGAAAUCAACCGAGAUUCCCCCAGUAGCGGCGAGCGAACGGGGAGCAGCCCAGAGCCUGAAUCAGUGUGUGUGUUAGUGGAAGCGUCUGGAAAGGCGCGCGAUACAGGGUGACAGCCCCGUACACAAAAAUGCACAUGCUGUGAGCUCGAUGAGUAGGGCGGGACACGUGGUAUCCUGUCUGAAUAUGGGGGGACCAUCCUCCAAGGCUAAAUACUCCUGACUGACCGAUAGUGAACCAGUACCGUGAGGGAAAGGCGAAAAGAACCCCGGCGAGGGGAGUGAAAAAGAACCUGAAACCGUGUACGUACAAGCAGUGGGAGCACGCUUAGGCGUGUGACUGCGUACCUUUUGUAUAAUGGGUCAGCGACUUAUAUUCUGUAGCAAGGUUAACCGAAUAGGGGAGCCGAAGGGAAACCGAGUCUUAACUGGGCGUUAAGUUGCAGGGUAUAGACCCGAAACCCGGUGAUCUAGCCAUGGGCAGGUUGAAGGUUGGGUAACACUAACUGGAGGACCGAACCGACUAAUGUUGAAAAAUUAGCGGAUGACUUGUGGCUGGGGGUGAAAGGCCAAUCAAACCGGGAGAUAGCUGGUUCUCCCCGAAAGCUAUUUAGGUAGCGCCUCGUGAAUUCAUCUCCGGGGGUAGAGCACUGUUUCGGCAAGGGGGUCAUCCCGACUUACCAACCCGAUGCAAACUGCGAAUACCGGAGAAUGUUAUCACGGGAGACACACGGCGGGUGCUAACGUCCGUCGUGAAGAGGGAAACAACCCAGACCGCCAGCUAAGGUCCCAAAGUCAUGGUUAAGUGGGAAACGAUGUGGGAAGGCCCAGACAGCCAGGAUGUUGGCUUAGAAGCAGCCAUCAUUUAAAGAAAGCGUAAUAGCUCACUGGUCGAGUCGGCCUGCGCGGAAGAUGUAACGGGGCUAAACCAUGCACCGAAGCUGCGGCAGCGACGCUGAUGCGUUGUUGGGUAGGGGAGCGUUCUGUAAGCCUGCGAAGGUGUGCUGUGAGGCAUGCUGGAGGUAUCAGAAGUGCGAAUGCUGACAUAAGUAACGAUAAAGCGGGUGAAAAGCCCGCUCGCCGGAAGACCAAGGGUUCCUGUCCAACGUUAAUCGGGGCAGGGUGAGUCGACCCCUAAGGCGAGGCCGAAAGGCGUAGUCGAUGGGAAACAGGUUAAUAUUCCUGUACUUGGUGUUACUGCGAAGGGGGGACGGAGAAGGCUAUGUUGGCCGGGCGACGGUUGUCCCGGUUUAAGCGUGUAGGCUGGUUUUCCAGGCAAAUCCGGAAAAUCAAGGCUGAGGCGUGAUGACGAGGCACUACGGUGCUGAAGCAACAAAUGCCCUGCUUCCAGGAAAAGCCUCUAAGCAUCAGGUAACAUCAAAUCGUACCCCAAACCGACACAGGUGGUCAGGUAGAGAAUACCAAGGCGCUUGAGAGAACUCGGGUGAAGGAACUAGGCAAAAUGGUGCCGUAACUUCGGGAGAAGGCACGCUGAUAUGUAGGUGAAGUCCCUUGCGGAUGGAGCUGAAAUCAGUCGAAGAUACCAGCUGGCUGCAACUGUUUAUUAAAAACACAGCACUGUGCAAACACGAAAGUGGACGUAUACGGUGUGACGCCUGCCCGGUGCCGGAAGGUUAAUUGAUGGGGUCAGCGCAAGCGAAGCUCUUGAUCGAAGCCCCGGUAAACGGCGGCCGUAACUAUAACGGUCCUAAGGUAGCGAAAUUCCUUGUCGGGUAAGUUCCGACCUGCACGAAUGGCGUAAUGAUGGCCAGGCUGUCUCCACCCGAGACUCAGUGAAAUUGAACUCGCUGUGAAGAUGCAGUGUACCCGCGGCAAGACGGAAAGACCCCGUGAACCUUUACUAUAGCUUGACACUGAACAUUGAGCCUUGAUGUGUAGGAUAGGUGGGAGGCUUUGAAGUGUGGACGCCAGUCUGCAUGGAGCCGACCUUGAAAUACCACCCUUUAAUGUUUGAUGUUCUAACGUUGACCCGUAAUCCGGGUUGCGGACAGUGUCUGGUGGGUAGUUUGACUGGGGCGGUCUCCUCCUAAAGAGUAACGGAGGAGCACGAAGGUUGGCUAAUCCUGGUCGGACAUCAGGAGGUUAGUGCAAUGGCAUAAGCCAGCUUGACUGCGAGCGUGACGGCGCGAGCAGGUGCGAAAGCAGGUCAUAGUGAUCCGGUGGUUCUGAAUGGAAGGGCCAUCGCUCAACGGAUAAAAGGUACUCCGGGGAUAACAGGCUGAUACCGCCCAAGAGUUCAUAUCGACGGCGGUGUUUGGCACCUCGAUGUCGGCUCAUCACAUCCUGGGGCUGAAGUAGGUCCCAAGGGUAUGGCUGUUCGCCAUUUAAAGUGGUACGCGAGCUGGGUUUAGAACGUCGUGAGACAGUUCGGUCCCUAUCUGCCGUGGGCGCUGGAGAACUGAGGGGGGCUGCUCCUAGUACGAGAGGACCGGAGUGGACGCAUCACUGGUGUUCGGGUUGUCAUGCCAAUGGCACUGCCCGGUAGCUAAAUGCGGAAGAGAUAAGUGCUGAAAGCAUCUAAGCACGAAACUUGCCCCGAGAUGAGUUCUCCCUGACUCCUUGAG